This 239-nucleotide non-coding RNA is filed under the name Clostridiales bacterium. Its description in RNAcentral is "T-box sequence". It matches the Rfam family "T-box leader". Rfam says of the family: Uncharged tRNA acts as the effector for transcription antitermination of genes in the T-box leader family. Lineage: Bacteria; Bacillati; Bacillota; Clostridia; Eubacteriales. The record is from RNAcentral.
UUAAAAACAAUGACAGGAAGAGUACAUAAGCUGUGAUGUCAAAGCGAACCGGUGGUGGUGAGAGUCCGGUACAGAGCGUUUAUCGAAGAACAUCCUCGAGUUUCCAACCGAAAUCUUUUGAGAGUAGACUUGGACGUAGGCUGCACGUUAUAGCAGAUAGGUAUCGAUUAUUCUGUACUGAUUAGAGUGAGCUAAACGCUAAUUAAGGUGGCACCGCGAAUUUAACCUUCGUCCUUAAA